AGGAAUAUUGGUCAAUGGACGAGAGUCUGAACCAGCCAAGUAGCGUGAAGGAUGAAGGUUCUAUGGAUUGUAAACUUCUUUUAUACGGGAAUAAACGGAUCCACGUGUGGAUUUUUGCAUGUACCGUAUGAAUAAGGAUCGGCUAACUCCGUGCCAGCAGCCGCGGUAAUACGGAGGAUCCGAGCGUUAUCCGGAUUUAUUGGGUUUAAAGGGAGCGUAGAUGGGUUGUUAAGUCAGUUGUGAAAGUUUGCGGCUCAACCGUAAAAUUGCAAUUGAUACUGGCAGUCUUGAGUACAGUUGAGGUAGACGGAAUUCGUGGUGUAGCGGUGAAAUGCUUAGAUAUCACGAAGAACUCCGAUUGCGAAGGCAGCUUACUAACCUGUAACUGACAUUGAUGCUCGAAAGUGUGGGUAUCAAACAGGAUUAGAUACCCUGGUAGUCCACACGGUAAACGAUGAAUACUCGCUGUAGGCGAUAUACAGUCUGCGGCCAAGCGAAAGCAUUAAGUAUUCCACCUGGGGAGUACGCCGGCAACGGUGAAACUCAAAGGAAUUGACGGGGGCCCGCACAAGCGGAGGAACAUGUGGUUUAAUUCGAUGAUACGCGAGGAACCUUACCCGGGCUUAAAUUGCAGAUGAAUUACGGUGAAAGCCGUAAGCCGCAAGGCAUCUGUGAAGGUGCUGCAUGGUUGUCGUCAGCUCGUGCCGUGAGGUGUCGGCUUAAGUGCCAUAACGAGCGCAACCCUUGUUGUCAGUUACUAACAGGUCAUGCUGAGGACUCUGACAAGACUGCCAUCGUAAGAUGUGAGGAAGGUGGGGACGACGUCAAAUCAGCACGGCCCUUACGUCCGGGGCUACACACGUGUUACAAUGGGGGGUACAGAGGGCCGCUACCACGCGAGUGGAUGCCAAUCCCAAAAACCUCUCUCAGUUCGGACUGGAGUCUGCAACCCGACUCCACGAAGCUGGAUUCGCUAGUAAUCGCGCAUCAGCCACGGCGCGGUGAAUACGUUCCCG
RNAcentral lists this ribosomal RNA (1016 nucleotides) under uncultured bacterium. RNAcentral's name for it is "bacterial SSU rRNA". It matches the Rfam family "Bacterial small subunit ribosomal RNA", at positions 357 to 1376 of the family's 1533-position model. The record is from RNAcentral.